AGUGAACGCUGGCGGUAGGCCUAACACAUGCAAGUCGAACGGCAGCACAGUAAGAGCUUGCUCUUACGGGUGGCGAGUGGCGGACGGGUGAGGAAUACAUCGGAAUCUACUUUUUCGUGGGGGAUAACGUAGGGAAACUUACGCUAAUACCGCAUACGACCUACGGGUGAAAGCAGGGGAUCUUCGGACCUUGCGCGAUUGAAUGAGCCGAUGUCGGAUUAGCUAGUUGGCGGGGUAAGGGCCCACCAAGGCGACGAUCCGUAGCUGGUCUGAGAGGAUGAUCAGCCACACUGGAACUGAGACACGGUCCAGACUCCUACGGGAGGCAGCAGUGGGGAAUAUUGGACAAUGGGCGCAAGCCUGAUCCAGCCAUACCGCGUGGGUGAAGAACGCCUUCGGGUUGUAAAGCCCUUUUGUUGGGAAAGAAAAGCAGCAGGUUAAUACCCCGCUGUUCUGACGGUACCCAAAGAAUAAGCACCGGCUAACUUCGUG
This 492-nucleotide ribosomal RNA is filed under the name uncultured bacterium. Its description in RNAcentral is "partial 16S ribosomal RNA". It matches the Rfam family "Bacterial small subunit ribosomal RNA", at positions 29 to 507 of the family's 1533-position model. The record is from RNAcentral.